Non-coding RNA from Populus trichocarpa (black cottonwood), 156 nucleotides. The record is from Rfam. NCBI's taxonomy places the organism in Eukaryota, Viridiplantae, Streptophyta, Magnoliopsida, Malpighiales, Salicaceae.
UCUAUAACUCGAGAUAUGGGUUGAACACUGAACAAUGUCUAGGCUAUAAGACAGAUUCAAAUUUCUCUUUUAUUGCUAAGAUUUAAACUUCGAAACGGCAGUAUUGAAUCUUGGACUCUUCAUAAAUACUUUAGGCAUAUGUCUUAGAUUUCCAUC